This 1038-nucleotide long non-coding RNA is filed under the name Oryctolagus cuniculus (rabbit). RNAcentral describes it as "lncRNA (ENSOCUG00000036957.1)". Lineage: Eukaryota; Metazoa; Chordata; Mammalia; Lagomorpha; Leporidae. The record is from RNAcentral.
GCCAAGCCAGAGUCCUGGGGUCGGCGAACUCCAGUGGACACAACUCAAAGGCGGGGUUUCAGCUCCUCUUUCCUUCCCUCCCCCCAGCCGGCUGGCUACCCAGUCCCGGGAGCCCGGGUCUCGCAGACAGGGUCCGCAAACCCGUCCGCUACCCGCUGGCUUCCAGCAGUGGAGACCCGGGCUUCCAGAACGCCGUCCCGCCCGCCCGCCCGCCCGGCGUCGGGCCGCACGGUUCGCCCCUGGGCAGGGGUGGCGGCGCGCACAUGUCCCUUUCCGCACACAGCGCCGUUUCCGAAAGCGCGAGCUUCGUGUCGCCGCGGACGCGCGAGUUUGGAGAGGCGCCGUGUCCGCGAGCUGCAACGCUCGCAGUCACUGGCGAGCGUUCACCUCCACCUAAGGGGUCUGGACCUUAGAUCCGAGUCCCCAGGGGGCGGUGAUGGUGGUGAGUGGGAGGGGUGGGAGUGGGGCUCUCCCGAAUGCAACGCAGGCUUCCGGGCAGGCCCUCUCCGUAAUGAGGCCGGGAGACGCGGGCGCAGGCGCUCGCACCGCGGAACAGCUGAUUGUCUCCUCCACGGCAGAUGGUCUUUGAGCACAGAUUUGCAUUCAUUGUCUUCAAAUCUGUUUUCGCGCGGGUGUUCUAGAGUUCAGCAGCAGAUCUACGCACAGAUCAGAAUACAAAAGGAGAAGCAAGAAAAUAACACCCAGCCAGGAGAGUUGUUGUUUUUAAAGACAGGCACCAGGAGCUGCCCCACGCAGUUGAAAAGCCGUCUAGGGUUUCAGCCGUGCGCGGGGCGAAGUUGCUGCCACUCCGCAACCGCGGCUCCACGGCGGCGCCCACGCCCCAGGACCGCGCCCCGGCCGCUCGCGCGCUCCGCCUGCCACGACCUGUCAGCAGCCUCUGGAGUGCUCGCGCCGCCCGGGGGUGUUUCCCUGAGCACCUCGGCGGUUUACCCGACGCUGUAUUUAUUUGAACAACACUCGCGCCUCGCUCGUCUGCACCCCUCCCCCGACAACUUGCAAACCGCACGCAACAUCUGA